ACGAACGCUGGCGGCGUGCUUAACCCAUGCAAGUCGAACGGAAAGGCCCUGCUUUUGUGGGGUGCUCGAGUGGCGAACGGGUGAGCAACACGUGAGUAACCUGCCCUUGACUUUGGGAUAACUUCAGGAAACUGGGGCUAAUACCGGAUAGGAGCUCCUGCUGCAUGGUGGGGGUUGGAAAGUUUCGGCGGUUGGGGAUGGACUCGCGGCUUAUCAGCUUGUUGGUGGGGUAGUGGCUUACCAAGGCUUUGACGGGUAGCCGGCCUGAGAGGGUGACCGGCCACAUUGGGACUGAGAUACGGCCCAGACUCCUACGGGAGGCAGCAGUGGGGAAUAUUGCACAAUGGGCGGAAGCCUGAUGCAGCAACGCCGCGUGCGGGAUGACGGCCUUCGGGUUGUAAACCGCUUUCGCCUGUGACGAAGCGUGAGUGACGGUAAUGGGUAAAGAAGCACCGGCUAACUACGUG
RNAcentral lists this ribosomal RNA (467 nucleotides) under uncultured bacterium. RNAcentral describes it as "partial 16S ribosomal RNA". It matches the Rfam family "Bacterial small subunit ribosomal RNA", at positions 29 to 507 of the family's 1533-position model. The record is from RNAcentral.